AUCCAGCUGACGAGUCUCAAAUAGGACGAAACGCGCGUGCUGGAU
Schistosoma rodhaini is the source of this 45-nucleotide non-coding RNA. The record is from Rfam. Lineage: Eukaryota; Metazoa; Platyhelminthes; Trematoda; Strigeidida; Schistosomatidae.